AUUGAACGCUGGCGGCAUGCCUUACACAUGCAAGUCGAACGGCAGCAUGAUCUCGCUUGCUAGAUUGAUGGCGAGUGGCGAACGGGUGAGUCAUACAUCGGAACGUGCCCUGUAGUGGGGGAUAACUAGUCGAAAGAUUAGCUAAUACCGCAUACGACCUGAGGGUGAAAGUGGGGGACCGCAAGGCCUCAUGCUAUAGGAGCGGCCGAUGUCUGAUUAGCUAGUUGGUGAGGUAAAGGCUCACCAAGGCGACGAUCAGUAGCUGGUCUGAGAGGACGACCAGCCACACUGGGACUGAGACACGGCCCAGACUCCUACGGGAGGCAGCAGUGGGGAAUUUUGGACAAUGGGCGAAAGCCUGAUCCAGCAAUGCCGCGUGUGUGAAGAAGGCCUUCGGGUUGUAAAGCACUUUUGUCCGGAAAGAAAUGGCUCUGGUUAAUACCUGGGGUCGAUGACGGUACCGGAAGAAUAAGGACCGGCUAACUACGUG
RNAcentral lists this ribosomal RNA (490 nucleotides) under uncultured bacterium. RNAcentral's name for it is "partial 16S ribosomal RNA". It matches the Rfam family "Bacterial small subunit ribosomal RNA", at positions 30 to 507 of the family's 1533-position model. The record is from RNAcentral.